RNAcentral lists this ribosomal RNA (119 nucleotides) under Pteropus alecto (black flying fox). Lineage: Eukaryota; Metazoa; Chordata; Mammalia; Chiroptera; Pteropodidae. The record is from RNAcentral.
GUCCACAGCCCUGCUAUCCUGAACAAGCCUGAUCCUGUUUGAUCUCAGAAGCUAAGCAGGAUUGGGCCUGGUUAGUACUUGGAUGGGGGACCACCUAGGAAGACCAGGUGCUGUAGGCA